Molecule: ribosomal RNA, 468 nt
Filed under: uncultured bacterium
Lineage: Bacteria
Description: bacterial SSU rRNA
Rfam family: Bacterial small subunit ribosomal RNA
Source: RNAcentral
CCUCCAGACUCCUACGGGAGGCAGCAGUGAGGAAUAUUGGUCAAUGGGCGGGAGCCUGAACCAGCCAAGUCGCGUGAGGGAAGACGGUCCUACGGAUUGUAAACCUCUUUUGCCGGGGAGCAACGGGGUCCUUGCGAGGGCCCGAUGAGAGUACCCGGAGAAAAAGCAUCGGCUAACUCCGUGCCAGCAGCCGCGGUAAUACGGAGGAUGCGAGCGUUAUCCGGAUUUAUUGGGUUUAAAGGGUGCGUAGGCGGGCUGUUAAGCCAGCGGUAAAAUGUCGGGGCUCAACCCCGGCCUGCCGUUGAAACUAGCGGCCUCGAGUGGGCGAGAAGUAUGCGGAAUGCGUGGUGUAGCGGUGAAAUGCAUAGAUAUCACGCAGAACUCCGAUUGCGAAGGCAGCAUACCGGCGCCCGACUGACGCUGAGGCACGAAAGCGUGGGUAUCGAACAGGAUUAGAUACCCUGGUAC